Cavia porcellus (domestic guinea pig) is the source of this 99-nucleotide unclassified non-coding RNA. It matches the Rfam family "Y RNA". From Rfam's summary of the family: Y RNAs are components of the Ro ribonucleoprotein particle (Ro RNP), in association with Ro60 and La proteins. The Y RNAs and Ro60 and La proteins are well conserved, but the function of the Ro RNP is not known. NCBI's taxonomy places the organism in Eukaryota, Metazoa, Chordata, Mammalia, Rodentia, Caviidae. The record is from Ensembl.
GGCUGGUCCGAGUGCAGUGGUGUUUACAACUAAUUGAUCACAACCAGUGACAGAUUUCUUUGUUCCUUCUCCAUUCCCACUGCUUCACUUGACUAUAAA